RNAcentral lists this ribosomal RNA (225 nucleotides) under uncultured bacterium. Its description in RNAcentral is "partial 16S ribosomal RNA". It matches the Rfam family "Bacterial small subunit ribosomal RNA", at positions 524 to 745 of the family's 1533-position model. The record is from RNAcentral.
UACGGUAGGGUGCAAGCGUUAAUCGGAAUUACUGGGCGUAAAGCGUGCGCAGGCGGUUAUGUAAGACAGAUGUGAAAUGCCCGGGCUUAACCUGGGAACUGCAUUUGUGACUGCAUGGCUAGAGUGUGUCAGAGGGGGGGUAGAAUUCCACGUGUAGCAGUGAAAUGCGUAGAUAUGUGGAGGAAUACCGAUGGCGAAGGCAGCCCCCCUGGGAUAACACUGACG